GACAGAGGCCUCGAGCGUUAGGCGGAAUCACUGGGCUUAAAGCGUGUGUAGGCGGAUCGUUAAGUACCUUGUGAAAUCCCACGGCUCAACCGUGGAACGGCUGGGUAUACUGGCGGUCUUGGGCCAUUCAGGGGCGACUGGAACAAGCGGUGGAGCGGUGAAAUGCGUAGAUAUCGCUUGGAACGCCGAAGGUGAAAACAGGUCGCUGGGGAUGUGCCGACGCUGAGACACGAAAGUCAGGGGAGCAAACGGG
RNAcentral lists this ribosomal RNA (253 nucleotides) under uncultured bacterium. RNAcentral describes it as "partial 16S ribosomal RNA". It matches the Rfam family "Bacterial small subunit ribosomal RNA", at positions 524 to 776 of the family's 1533-position model. The record is from RNAcentral.